This 480-nucleotide ribosomal RNA is filed under the name Fusarium sp. AS352. Its description in RNAcentral is "eukaryotic LSU rRNA". The stretch from base 167 to 320 matches the Rfam family "5.8S ribosomal RNA". Lineage: Eukaryota; Fungi; Ascomycota; Sordariomycetes; Hypocreales; Nectriaceae. The record is from RNAcentral.
CCUGCGGAGGGAUCAUUACCGAGUUUACAACUCCCAAACCCCUGUGAACAUACCAAUUGUUGCCUCGGCGGAUCAGCCCGCUCCCGGUAAAACGGGACGGCCCGCCAGAGGACCCCUAAACUCUGUUUCUAUAUGUAACUUCUGAGUAAAACCAUAAAUAAAUCAAAACUUUCAACAACGGAUCUCUUGGUUCUGGCAUCGAUGAAGAACGCAGCAAAAUGCGAUAAGUAAUGUGAAUUGCAGAAUUCAGUGAAUCAUCGAAUCUUUGAACGCACAUUGCGCCCGCCAGUAUUCUGGCGGGCAUGCCUGUUCGAGCGUCAUUUCAACCCUCAAGCCCAGCUUGGUGUUGGGACUCGCGAGUCAAAUCGCGUUCCCCAAAUUGAUUGGCGGUCACGUCGAGCUUCCAUAGCGUAGUAGUAAAACCCUCGUUACUGGUAAUCGUCGCGGCCACGCCGUUAAACCCCAACUUCUGAAUGUGAC